GGAACUCUGGGACACAUGGUAAUAAAGUAUAUUGGCAUAAUGCAAGAGUCAAGAUGCAGAAAAUAACUACUGUGUGAUGUCUCUCUCCCAGCUUUAACCCGCCUGAAGGGCAGCACUGAAUUCAACACACUGUCCCACAAUUGUUGCACUCUCACACUGAAGUGAACAGAUUCUUUCUCCGUGCCGUGCAGCUCCCGGCAGAGGAUGAGGGAAGGGUAGCAUCGGUGAUUCAACACUGUGUUUCCUAUCCUCUUCAAUGACUCUUUCAGCGAUAUGAAGGUAAAACCAGACUUGAAAGCGUGUGUCAGAUCCCUUCACUAUAUCUUCAGACCUGCCCCAAGGAGUGAGGAAGGGCAACACCAAGAACUUCUCUCCAAGGACCAUAACCUGCGAACCCCAUCUCACCUCCUCCUGCCAGAUGGACACAGUCAUUGUCCUCCUGGCUGAUCCCAUGUCCAUGUCUUGCUCUGGCUACUUUCAUACACCCAUAAUGACAUUUUCCAUCUACUCAAUUUUUUAAAAGCUCAGCUCAAACCUCACGGAUUUUCCUGACAAUCUGCUUCUCUCAAUGGCCUUAAUUUAAGUGAGGGUUGUCAGUCUUACUGGGUCUUGUUUUUUGUCUUAAAUAAUAACUAUUUAUGGGUAUCAAGUGUCUCCUCAAUUUGGCUAUGAUCCUUCACGGCAGAAAUACUGUCUUAUCUUGUGAUCAUGGAGUCACAAGAUUUCAUGGCUAGGAAGAAUCAUAAAAUUAAUCCUAGAUUCAGGAUCAGGUAGUAUGUGGUCUGAUUCUAACUCAACAACUUUCAGAAACUCACUUCUUUUUUCUUUUUUUUUCCCCAGGAGGAGCUACCGUAUUAACUGAUGAAACUCACUUCAUUUCUUUGGACCUGCAAAAUGAGGAUGGGCUCUAAACCACCUCUAAAGUUAAUAUUCUAUGAUUCCAUGAUAAGGCUAUUUGUCAUUUAUAAGAAAAGGAACUUCCACAUAGCCCAGAGAAAGGAAAUGACUUUUUCAAGUUUACAGAGUCAAUUAAUGGACAAAAUAUAAUUUGAAAUUCAAUCUCCUGAUCCCCAGUCUAUUGGGAGUUCUUUCAGAAUGUCCCUUGACUCUCUCUCAAAGUGCCAGCAUGUAUGAAACCUUGUUAAGGAUGGAUGCUCAAUGAAAAUACACAAAUUGACUUAACAAGAAACUAAACUCUCCAGAAAGAUGCAGUUGACCCAAAACUCUGAAUAUCUUUUAUGUUUAAAACUUUCUUUUUUGAACAAAAUUGUACAGUUACUUCUCUAUUUCAACUCUUAAGCCUUUUAUGCCAUGUCAAAGGUUAGCUCUCGUUUCUCUCUGUUAAUAAAGUCUUAUUCUUGACUUUGGAACUGUAUGCCAAGCUAAGGGGUCCUUUAUUGUUUAUUUAUUUUUUGAUUCUCUACUUUUGAUUCACACAUCUUUUCUACAAGAAAGACAAUUUAUAGCAGGGGCAUAUUACUUUCUUUGGGCCUCUGUGUCCUUAUCUAUAGCCAAAAGGUAUGGAAAUAAAUGUUUU
RNAcentral lists this long non-coding RNA (1537 nucleotides) under Pan troglodytes (chimpanzee). RNAcentral describes it as "long non-coding RNA NONPTRT012116". The record is from RNAcentral. Lineage: Eukaryota; Metazoa; Chordata; Mammalia; Primates; Hominidae.